CCUACGGGAGGCUGCAGUAGGGAAUAUUGGGCAAUGGCCGAGAGGCUGACCCAGCCAUGCCGCGUGUAGGAUGAAGGCUUUCUGAGUUGUAAACUACUUUUGAUCGGGAACAAAAAGGCUAUGCGUAGCAAAUUGAGUGUACCGAUAGAAUAAGCACCGGCUAACUCCGUGCCAGCAGCCGCGGUAAUACGGAGGGUGCAAGCGUUGUCCGGAUUUAUUGGGUUUAAAGGGUGCGUAGGCGGCCCUGUAAGUCAGUGGUGAAAUGCGGCAGCUUA
This 275-nucleotide ribosomal RNA is filed under the name uncultured bacterium. RNAcentral's name for it is "partial 16S ribosomal RNA". It matches the Rfam family "Bacterial small subunit ribosomal RNA", at positions 338 to 611 of the family's 1533-position model. The record is from RNAcentral.